Non-coding RNA from Bos taurus (domestic cattle), 72 nucleotides. The record is from Rfam. NCBI's taxonomy places the organism in Eukaryota, Metazoa, Chordata, Mammalia, Artiodactyla, Bovidae.
UCCCUGGUGGCUCAGACGGUAAAGCAUCUGUCUACAACGUGGGAGACCCAGGUUCAAUCCCUGGGUUGGGAA